AAGCAGAGACUAAAACUCGUACCUUUUGCAUCAUGAUCUAGUUAGUAAAACCCAAGCAAAGAGCACUUUAGUUUGAUUCCCCGAAACUAAGUGAGCUACUCCAAGGCAGCCUAUUAACAGGGCACACCCGUCUCUGUGGCAAAAGAGUGGGAAGACCUUUGAGUAGUGGUGACAGACCUAUACGAACUUAGUAAUAGCUGGUUGCCUGAGAAAUGGAUAGGAGUUCAGCCUUUCGGCUUCUUUCUUGAAUAAAUCUCUCCACAUGAGAGACCCCCCAAAGCAUUCGAAGAAACCGUAAGAGUUAUUCAAAGGAGGUACAGCUCCUUUGAAAGAAGACACAACUUUUCCAGGCGGAUAAAGAUCAUAAUAACUAAGGGUAAAAUGUCCUGGUGGGCCUAAAGGCAGCCAUCCUAGUAGAAAGCGUUAAAGCUCAGACGAACCCCAACCCCCCCCCCAAUCCUGAUAAUUUUAUCUUAAUCCCCUAAUUAUACCAGGCCGCCCCAUGCACACAUGGGAGUGAUAAUGCUAGAAUGAGUAAUAAGAGGGCCAUUGCCCCUCUCCUUGCACACGUGUACAUCGGAACAGACCCCCUGCCGAACCUUAACGGCCCCAACCCAAGAGGGAACUGAAUAACAGAACAGAAGACCAGAAGAAUAUUCAACUUGAAAACCGUUAACCCUACACAGGUGUGCCCACAAGGAAAGACUAAAAGAAAAAGAAGGAAUUCGGCAAACACAUGAAGCCUCGCCUGUUUACCAAAAACAUCGCCUCUUGCAAAAUUAAACAAAUAAGAGGUCCCGCCUGCCCUGUGACUAUAUGUUCAACGGCCGCGGUAUUUUAACCGCGCGAAGGUAGCGCAAUCACUUGUCUUUUAAAUGGGGACCUGUAUGAAUGGCAUAACGAGGGCUUGACUGUCUCCUUUUUCGAGUCAAUGAAAUUGAUCUUUCCGUGCAGAAGCGGGAAUAUAAACAUAAGACGAGAAGACCCUAUGGAGCUUUAGACACUAAGACAGAUCAUACUUAAGUCCCUCACUUCCAAACAAAGAACUAAACCAAUGAAGCCUGUCCUAAUGUCUUAGGUUGGGGCGACCCAGGGGAACAAAAACCCCCCACGUGGACUGGGAGGACCUUUCCCCCUUUUUCUUUCGUCCUCCUAAAAACAAGACCCACAGCUCUAAUAUUCAGAAUUUCUGACCAAUAAUGAUCCGGCAUUAGCCGAUCAACGGACCAAGUUACCCUAGGGAUAACAGCGCAAUCCCCUUUCAGAGCCCAUAUCGACAAGGGGGUUUACGACCUCGAUGUUGGAUCAGGACAUCCUAAUGGUGCAGCCGCUAUUAAGGGUUC
RNAcentral lists this ribosomal RNA (1343 nucleotides) under Percichthys trucha. Its description in RNAcentral is "partial 16S ribosomal RNA". It matches the Rfam family "Bacterial large subunit ribosomal RNA", at positions 568 to 2574 of the family's 2925-position model. Lineage: Eukaryota; Metazoa; Chordata; Actinopteri; Centrarchiformes; Percichthyidae. The record is from RNAcentral.